GGUUCCCUUGAGCAAGGCACUGAGCCCCCAACUGCUUGCUGGGUGCUGCAGCAUAAAUUAAACACUAUACAGGCUUAUAAGGGAGUGACAAUAAGUGCACAAAUCAUUUCAGUUAACAUUUUUUUUUUUUUUUAAUGUAGAACUGUAUGCCAGUUCUCCACUUGCUCUUUGUACAAAAGAGGAGUAUCUGUAUCAAUAGGACAAAUAAAGCUGUGUGAACUUCAGACCAUGAUCUUCUCUUCAGUUCUACUUCUGCUGGCAGCAGCUGCAUCAUGUGGUGUUUUCUGUGUUGAGCUCACUCAACCUUCAUCUAUGGUUGUGAAA
Molecule: long non-coding RNA, 324 nt
Organism: Carassius auratus (goldfish)
Lineage: Eukaryota; Metazoa; Chordata; Actinopteri; Cypriniformes; Cyprinidae
Exons: 2
Source: RefSeq, a predicted model, not a curated record